GGCGCCGUGGCCAAGUGGCUAAGGCAGUGGAUUGCAAAUCCACCAUCGCCGGUUCGAAUCCGGCCGGCGCCUC
This 73-nucleotide transfer RNA is filed under the name Bremerella cremea. Its description in RNAcentral is "tRNA-Cys". It matches the Rfam family "tRNA". Rfam says of the family: Transfer RNA (tRNA) molecules are approximately 80 nucleotides in length. Their secondary structure includes four short double-helical elements and three loops (D, anti-codon, and T loops). Lineage: Bacteria; Pseudomonadati; Planctomycetota; Planctomycetia; Pirellulales; Pirellulaceae. RNAcentral also lists the same sequence under 3 other names. The record is from RNAcentral.